GGACUAUUAGCUCAGUUGGUUAGAGCGCACCCCUGAUAAGGGUGAGGUCCCUGGUUCAAAUCCAGGAUAGCCCAC
This 75-nucleotide transfer RNA is filed under the name Dasya naccarioides. Its description in RNAcentral is "tRNA-Ile". It matches the Rfam family "tRNA". Rfam says of the family: Transfer RNA (tRNA) molecules are approximately 80 nucleotides in length. Their secondary structure includes four short double-helical elements and three loops (D, anti-codon, and T loops). The record is from RNAcentral. Lineage: Eukaryota; Rhodophyta; Florideophyceae; Ceramiales; Dasyaceae.